GAGACCAGCUUUUCCUCUGCUAACCUUUUUUUGGAUACUGGCAACCACCCUAUGACUUUUGACCAUCUGCCCCUCCUUUUGUGGUCACAGUGUCCUCUGGGUGGACCUUUCAAUGGAGGCCCAUUUGGUCACAGUAAGCACACCUUUGUCCUGCUGUCAAAAGAAAUCUGGGACAUAUGGAUGGCUUUCUAGAAGUUCCUUCUCUUAAUUGGCUUAAACUGGGGACAAGCAGGUGGAAGGGAUCCAGCACACUGGCAACUCUCUCCAAAACAGCUCCUCUGCCCUCUGAGGAGUGUUCUUUGGCUUGGAUGGCUGUAUGGUGGGCUAUCACUGAAAGCAGGUGUACGUUCUGUUUCUGCAGUCCUGCAAGGAGGCUCAGCAUCUUGCUUUAGCAUGUGGGUACCUGGCAAUUUGCUCUAUGUCCUUAGGGUCUCUGAAGUCAAGAAAGUUCUGUUUAAUAUUCUAUUGCCAGGAACAGCUAAAUAAUUUGUGGGUCUCAGUGCAAAAUUAAACUGCAAAACCCCUUGUUUGAAAGUUACUAAGAAUUUCUAGAUGGUCACAGCAAUAAAUUAAGCCAAGUACUGGGUCCCUGUACAUGAGCUGACUCUGUUAUGUGUGCUUAGGUCUAAUCACAAGAAGAGUAGAGGUCAUACAAAGCUAUAUUAUAUUAAUGCUCACUGUAAAUUUUACUAAACAGUCUACCCAAUCAUGCUGCAGAUGACAACAUUAAAUGGUAACUUAUUAUUAAAGGUAAGACUAUUCACAAUUACAAACAAGGACCAGCAAUGAUGCUUUGAUAAAGCAUUCAGGAAUUCUCCUGAUCUCCAUGUGGCACAUUUGAGAGGAGCAGGGUUCCAUUAAUCAGCAGAGUGGGGAGGUCUGACUUAGCAGUAGAAAACCGACUGAGAAUCCUUAAUCAACUCUUGCAAUGCACAUUUUUUUCAAAUUAAUUUGUAAGUAAAGAACCAAUACCUUAAGAACUCAUGUGGUAGCAUACUGAUCAGUAGCUCUUGGUUUUAUAUUAUGAUUAAGGGGUUAUUUGGGGAAUUUUAUAUUAGUUAUCUGUGAGAAUAUCACCUGUGAGAAUUAAAGAAUGGGCUAGCACUUUAGGAUCUAUGUGCUACCACCUGACGGCUCUGACACCAAUUCUUUGCCCUUGGUGCGGGUGGGUGCUCCUGGCUCUCACCCACCCAUCAUUACCUGUUGCUAUGGCCUCUCUUAGGGAGGGCUGAGUGGGGCCUGCAGUUGAAGGGACUUGAGCCAGAUUUGGUGUUAGAAAGGUCUAUGGCAGUACAAAGGGAGAGGAGGGGCUGUACCUGCCAAGGAACUCUCCUCCUGCCAGCAGAGGGGUGAG
Molecule: long non-coding RNA, 1354 nt
Filed under: Marmota monax (woodchuck)
Lineage: Eukaryota; Metazoa; Chordata; Mammalia; Rodentia; Sciuridae
Source: RNAcentral